ACCGAAGUGGUGGAAUUGGUAGACACGCACGUUUCAGGGGCGUGUGUCUUCACGGACAUGCGGGUUCGAGUCCCGCCUCGGUA
This 83-nucleotide transfer RNA is filed under the name Siphonobacter sp. SORGH_AS_0500. It matches the Rfam family "tRNA". From Rfam's summary of the family: Transfer RNA (tRNA) molecules are approximately 80 nucleotides in length. The record is from Rfam by way of RNAcentral. Lineage: Bacteria; Pseudomonadati; Bacteroidota; Cytophagia; Cytophagales; Cytophagaceae.